RNAcentral lists this ribosomal RNA (441 nucleotides) under uncultured Hyphomicrobiaceae bacterium. RNAcentral describes it as "bacterial SSU rRNA". It matches the Rfam family "Bacterial small subunit ribosomal RNA", at positions 337 to 795 of the family's 1533-position model. Lineage: Bacteria; Pseudomonadati; Pseudomonadota; Alphaproteobacteria; Hyphomicrobiales; Hyphomicrobiaceae. The record is from RNAcentral.
GCCUACGGGGGGCUGCAGUGGGGAAUAUUGGACAAUGGGCGAAAGCCUGAUCCAGCCAUGCCGCGUGGGUGAAGAAGGCCUUAGGGUUGUAAACCCCUUUCAGCGGGGAAGAUAAUGACGGUACCCGCAGAAGAAGCCCCGGCUAACUCCGUGCCAGCAGCCGCGGUAAUACGGAGGGGGCUAGCGUUGUUCGGAAUUACUGGGCGUAAAGCGCGCGUAGGCGGACUUUCAAGUCAGGGGUGAAAUCCCGAGGCUCAACCUCGGAACUGCCUCUGAUACUGUAAGUCUUGAGUCCGAGAGAGGUGAGUGGAAUUCCUAGUGUAGAGGUGAAAUUCGUAGAUAUUAGGAAGAACACCAGUGGCGAAGGCGGCUCACUGGCUCGGUACUGACGCUGAGGCGCGAAAGCGUGGGGAGCAAACAGGAUUAGAUACCCGUGUAGUC